GACGAACGCUGGCGGCGUGCCUAAUACAUGCAAGUAGAACGCUGAAGAGAGGAGCUUACUCUUCUUGGAUGAGUUGCGAACGGGUGAGUAACGCGUAGGUAACCUGCCUUGUAGCGGGGGAUAACUAUUGGAAACGAUAGCUAAUACCGCAUAACAAUGGAUGACACAUGUCAUUUAUUUGAAAGGGGCAAUUGCUCCACUACAAGAUGGACCUGCGUUGUAUUAGCUAGUAGGUGAGGUAAUGGCUCACCUAGGCGACGAUACAUAGCCGACCUGAGAGGGUGAUCGGCCACACUGGGACGGAGACACGGCCCAGACUCCUACGGGAGGCAGCAGUAGGGAAUCUUCGGCAAUGGGGGCAACCCUGACCGAGCAACGCCGCGUGAGUGAAGAAGGUUUUCGGAUCGUAAAGCUCUGUUGUAAGUCAAGAACGGGUGUGAGAGUGGAAAGUUCACACUGUGACGGUAGCUUACCAGAAAGGGACGGCUAACUACGUG
This 497-nucleotide ribosomal RNA is filed under the name uncultured bacterium. RNAcentral describes it as "partial 16S ribosomal RNA". It matches the Rfam family "Bacterial small subunit ribosomal RNA", at positions 28 to 507 of the family's 1533-position model. The record is from RNAcentral.